CUUCUUUGCUGGCGACCGGCGCACGGGUGAGUAACACGUAUCCAACCUGCCCUUUACUCGGGAUAGCCUUUCGAAAGAAAGAUUAAUACCCGAUAGUAUAAUGAUUCCGCAUGGUUUCAUUAUUAAAGGAUUCCGGUAAAGGAUGGGGAUGCGUUCCAUUAGGUUGUUGGUGAGGUAACGGCUCACCAAGCCUUCGAUGGAUAGGGGUUCUGAGAGGAAGGCCCCCCACAUUGGAACUGAGACACGGUCCAA
This 252-nucleotide ribosomal RNA is filed under the name uncultured bacterium. RNAcentral describes it as "partial 16S ribosomal RNA". It matches the Rfam family "Bacterial small subunit ribosomal RNA", at positions 80 to 334 of the family's 1533-position model. The record is from RNAcentral.